CUGUCCAGCCUGGUGGCACACCCGACAAAGCUAGCAUCUUAAAGAGGAAGAUCUGAUGCAAGGGAAGGAAGAAAGGAAGGAAAAGGAAAAGAAAAGCUCCUGAAAGCAGUUUCAGAAGGAUCGUGGGAGAGGGAAGAAGGUGAGAGAGACAAGGAGAAGACUGCCUUACAGCCUGCUCUCCUGCUAACCUGUAGCUGGUCACAACUGAGAAGGCUCCAGGGCAGAGCCUGAGAGGAAGAUCCGGGUUUAGAUCUCUGAGCUUCUGUUGGCUGGUGUGUGAUCUACAAAGAAUCUGGAGGGUCUCACAUGCUCCCGUGGGAGGUGGAGAUGCAGAAACUGAGGCACAAAGAUAUUAAAUAGCUGGCCCAAGGUCACAGAUAGUAAGCAGUGACUUGAAAACUGACAACCUGGUGUCAGAGUCUGGAGGAUGAUCAUCGUGAACAGUGAAGGGGUCCAAUGACCUACAGUGCAAACUGCCUGGGCCAGGCCUCAGGAUGCCCACAACACCAACGAGAGUCAACCAGAGAAGUCUGUGGAACCCUGAUUGAAGAAAGAGGUAGGACAAGCUGGUGCUGCCUACCCAGCCAGAGGCUCUGGAACAUUGCUAGUACUACCCUAGUGACAAAGGGCUUGGGAGCAAACAAAUGGUGAACAUCAUCUGCUGUGCUGGAUGGGCUGCUCCCAUCUGGUGUCUGCUCCAGCUCUUUGUUUUCUGCUGAAGGCACCAUUACGAUAAGGUGCCAGGACAGGCCAGAGUGAGGACAUGAUUCCAGACCACGUCCUGUAGUCCCGACCACACUGCAUUCACGGGCGAAGGAAAAGUUUGAUUUCCUAUUCCCAGAUAAGGAAACCAAGGCUUGGCAAUAGAGACUCUUCUUAGGUCACACAGUUUGAAUGUGUCAGAGCCGGUGUCUGUGCCCUAAAGAUCGCCCUACAAGCCUUGGGGGAUAGGAGAAGCCUGAACUGGGACCAUGAGGAGGCACCAAGCUAGAGAAGCAGCAGAUUUCAAACUCAGCCAGAGAAGCCCAAGGCGAGUGCCAAAGAAGAUUCUGAGAGACCUGGAAUGUUUAUGUACACAUCUAAGGAUGCCCGUGGGAGGUGGAGGGCGCGACUUGGGCAGCAAGUGGGACAGAGUGCAAGAGCUGUGGCUGAGCAACAGGAGUCACGGAUCAGGGUCCAGAGGAGCAGAUAAGCUGGUGGCUGACUCACAUGCUUUCAUGAGCGCGGAUGGUGACGUGGAUGUGUGAGUUUGGUGGAAGCCACACAAAAAUGGAUGGAGCAGCCUGGAUACAGGAGAGAGAAUAUACGCCCAAAUUCAUUUAAAAAAUUUUUAAACACUGCUGACCAAAUAAAACAUGUCCUUGGAGAUUAUUGAUUACUGGAAAGUCAUGUAGCAAAAAAUAGAAUUCCAAGUUGCAAAUGACUUUAAAGCCCGAACUAUUUUUCUUACCACCUAUUAUUUGAUACUUGUUUACCCCUUCGUUCAUUCAUCGGUUUUACCAGUCAACAACAUCAUUUGAUGUCUUUGGACCAUCUACUGUGCUAGGUGCUGGAGUUAUUGAGACUCCAGAAUGGGGCAAAACACAGUCUCUGUCCUCAACAGAAAGAAUACUAUAUUUAUAAAUUAUAAUAGACAGCAAUUGAGAAGCCUUAGCAUAGCCUUUCACAGAGUGCAUUGGAGCACAAAGGACAGAGUGACUGAAU
This is a long non-coding RNA of Equus quagga, 1704 nucleotides long. RefSeq lists it as uncharacterized. The record is from RefSeq and is a predicted model, not a curated record. Lineage: Eukaryota; Metazoa; Chordata; Mammalia; Perissodactyla; Equidae. The transcript has 6 exons.